GGAUGUGAGGAUGAUCUGGCUGCAACAUUUGUCACUCCAUUGAUCAACAGGGCUAAUUCACUGAUCUGGCUGGCUAUGUGUAUGCCCCCUUCCUCCCUCACUGCUCCACAUGUGUCCCUCUAGAAGCUGUGUGCUCAGCCUAAGAGGACGACCAUCCCUGAGAGAGGAGAACUGUGUUUCGGUCAAGGGUAUACGAGUAGCUGCACUCCCCUGCUAGAACCUCCAAACAAGCUCUCAAGGUCAAAGAUAGCUGGGUUUUUAACAGAUAAUACACCUAAGCAGGUCAUUUUU
RNAcentral lists this small nuclear RNA (291 nucleotides) under Tupaia belangeri chinensis (Chinese tree shrew). Its description in RNAcentral is "Tupaia chinensis (Chinese tree shrew) 7SK RNA". It matches the Rfam family "7SK RNA". From Rfam's summary of the family: 7SK was discovered as an abundant small nuclear RNA in the mid-70s but a possible function has only recently been suggested. Two independent studies have found that 7SK RNA binds the CDK9/cyclin T complex (known as elongation factor P-TEFb). Lineage: Eukaryota; Metazoa; Chordata; Mammalia; Scandentia; Tupaiidae. The record is from Rfam by way of RNAcentral.